Molecule: ribosomal RNA, 2925 nt
Filed under: Escherichia coli
Lineage: Bacteria; Pseudomonadati; Pseudomonadota; Gammaproteobacteria; Enterobacterales; Enterobacteriaceae
Description: 23S ribosomal RNA
Rfam family: Bacterial large subunit ribosomal RNA
Source: RNAcentral
GGGUUGUGAGGUUAAGCGACUAAGCGUACACGGUGGAUGCCCUGGCAGUCAGAGGCGAUGAAGGACGUGCUAAUCUGCGAUAAGCGUCGGUAAGGUGAUAUGAACCGUUAUAACCGGCGAUUUCCGAAUGGGGAAACCCAGUGUGAUUCGUCACACUAUCAUUAACUGAAUCCAUAGGUUAAUGAGGCGAACCGGGGGAACUGAAACAUCUAAGUACCCCGAGGAAAAGAAAUCAACCGAGAUUCCCCCAGUAGCGGCGAGCGAACGGGGAGCAGCCCAGAGCCUGAAUUAGUGUGUGUGUUAGUGGAAGCGUCUGGAAAGGCGCGCGAUACAGGGUGACAGCCCCGUACACAAAAAUGCACAUACUGUGAGCUCGAUGAGUAGGGCGGGACACGUGGUAUCCUGUCUGAAUAUGGGGGGACCAUCCUCCAAGGCUAAAUACUCCUGACUGACCGAUAGUGAACCAGUACCGUGAGGGAAAGGCGAAAAGAACCCCGGCGAGGGGAGUGAAAAAGAACCUGAAACCGUGUACGUACAAGCAGUGGGAGCCUCUUUAUGGGGUGACUGCGUACCUUUUGUAUAAUGGGUCAGCGACUUAUAUUCUGUAGCAAGGUUAACCGAAUAGGGGAGCCGAAGGGAAACCGAGUCUUAACUGGGCGUUAAGUUGCAGGGUAUAGACCCGAAACCCGGUGAUCUAGCCAUGGGCAGGUUGAAGGUUGGGUAACACUAACUGGAGGACCGAACCGACUAAUGUUGAAAAAUUAGCGGAUGACUUGUGGCUGGGGGUGAAAGGCCAAUCAAACCGGGAGAUAGCUGGUUCUCCCCGAAAGCUAUUUAGGUAGCGCCUCGUGAAUUCAUCUCCGGGGGUAGAGCACUGUUUCGGCAAGGGGGUCAUCCCGACUUACCAACCCGAUGCAAACUGCGAAUACCGGAGAAUGUUAUCACGGGAGACACACGGCGGGUGCUAACGUCCGUCGUGAAGAGGGAAACAACCCAGACCGCCAGCUAAGGUCCCAAAGUCAUGGUUAAGUGGGAAACGAUGUGGGAAGGCCCAGACAGCCAGGAUGUUGGCUUAGAAGCAGCCAUCAUUUAAAGAAAGCGUAAUAGCUCACUGGUCGAGUCGGCCUGCGCGGAAGAUGUAACGGGGCUAAACCAUGCACCGAAGCUGCGGCAGCGACACUAUGUGUUGUUGGGUAGGGGAGCGUUCUGUAAGCCUGUGAAGGUGUACUGUGAGGUAUGCUGGAGGUAUCAGAAGUGCGAAUGCUGACAUAAGUAACGAUAAAGCGGGUGAAAAGCCCGCUCGCCGGAAGACCAAGGGUUCCUGUCCAACGUUAAUCGGGGCAGGGUGAGUCGACCCCUAAGGCGAGGCCGAAAGGCGUAGUCGAUGGGAAACAGGUUAAUAUUCCUGUACUUGGUGUUACUGCGAAGGGGGGACGGAGAAGGCUAUGUUGGCCGGGCGACGGUUGUCCCGGUUUAAGCGUGUAGGCUGGUUUUCCAGGCAAAUCCGGAAAAUCAAGGCUGAGGCGUGAUGACGAGGCACUACGGUGCUGAAGCAACAAAUGCCCUGCUUCCAGGAAAAGCCUCUAAGCAUCAGGUAACAUCAAAUCGUACCCCAAACCGACACAGGUGGUCAGGUAGAGAAUACCAAGGCGCUUGAGAGAACUCGGGUGAAGGAACUAGGCAAAAUGGUGCCGUAACUUCGGGAGAAGGCACGCUGAUAUGUAGGUGAAGCGACUUGCUCGUGGAGCUGAAAUCAGUCGAAGAUACCAGCUGGCUGCAACUGUUUAUUAAAAACACAGCACUGUGCAAACACGAAAGUGGACGUAUACGGUGUGACGCCUGCCCGGUGCCGGAAGGUUAAUUGAUGGGGUUAGCGGUAACGCGAAGCUCUUGAUCGAAGCCCCGGUAAACGGCGGCCGUAACUAUAACGGUCCUAAGGUAGCGAAAUUCCUUGUCGGGUAAGUUCCGACCUGCACGAAUGGCGUAAUGAUGGCCAGGCUGUCUCCACCCGAGACUCAGUGAAAUUGAACUCGCUGUGAAGAUGCAGUGUACCCGCGGCAAGACGGAAAGACCCCGUGAACCUUUACUAUAGCUUGACACUGAACAUUGAGCCUUGAUGUGUAGGAUAGGUGGGAGGCUUUGAAGUGUGGACGCCAGUCUGCAUGGAGCCGGCCUUGAAAUACCACCCUUUAAUGUUUGAUGUUCUAACGUUGGCCCCUGACCGGGGUUGCGGACAGUGUCUGGUGGGUAGUUUGACUGGGGCGGUCUCCUCCUAAAGAGUAACGGAGGAGCACGAAGGUUGGCUAAUCCUGGUCGGACAUCAGGAGGUUAGUGCAAUGGCAUAAGCCAGCUUGACUGCGAGCGUGACGGCGCGAGCAGGUGCGAAAGCAGGUCAUAGUGAUCCGGUGGUUCUGAAUGGAAGGGCCAUCGCUCAACGGAUAAAAGGUACUCCGGGGAUAACAGGCUGAUACCGCCCAAGAGUUCAUAUCGACGGCGGUGUUUGGCACCUCGAUGUCGGCUCAUCACAUCCUGGGGCUGAAGUAGGUCCCAAGGGUAUGGCUGUUCGCCAUUUAAAGUGGUACGCGAGCUGGGUUUAGAACGUCGUGAGACAGUUCGGUCCCUAUCUGCCGUGGGCGCUGGAGAACUGAGGGGGGCUGCUCCUAGUACGAGAGGACCGGAGUGGACGCAUCACUGGUGUUCGGGUUGUCAUGCCAAUGGCACUGCCCGGUAGCUAAAUGCGGAAGAGAUAAGUGCUGAAAGCAUCUAAGCACGAAACUUGCCCCGAGAUGAGUUCUCCCUGACUCCUUGAGAGUCCUGAAGGAACGUUGAAGACGACGACGUUGAUAGGCCGGGUGUGUAAGCGCAGCGAUGCGUUGAGCUAACCGGUACUAAUGAACCGUGAGGCUUAACCUUACAACGCCGAAG